GAUGAACGCUGGCGGCGUGCCUAAUACAUGCAAGUCGAGCGAACAGACGAGGAGCUUGCUCCUCUGACGUUAGCGGCGGACGGGUGAGUAACACGUGGAUAACCUACCUAUAAGACUGGGAUAACUUCGGGAAACCGGAGCUAAUACCGGAUAAUAUAUUGAACCGCAUGGUUCAAUAGUGAAAGACGGUUUUGCUGUCACUUAUAGAUGGAUCCGCGCCGCAUUAGCUAGUUGGUAAGGUAACGGCUUACCAAGGCAACAUGCGUAGCCGACCUGAGAGGGUGAUCGGCCACACUGGAACUGAGACACGGUCCAGACUCCUACGGGAGGCAGCAGUAGGGAAUCUUCCGCAAUGGGCGAAAGCUUGACGGAGCAACGCCGCGUGAGUGAUGAAGGUCUUCGGAUCGUAAAACUCUGUUAUUAGGGAUGAACAAAUGUGUAAGUAACUAUGCACGUCUUGACGGUACCUAAUCAGAAAGCCACGGCUAACUACGUG
This 496-nucleotide ribosomal RNA is filed under the name uncultured bacterium. Its description in RNAcentral is "partial 16S ribosomal RNA". It matches the Rfam family "Bacterial small subunit ribosomal RNA", at positions 28 to 507 of the family's 1533-position model. The record is from RNAcentral.